This 24-nucleotide non-coding RNA is filed under the name Cricetulus griseus (Chinese hamster). The record is from RNAcentral. Lineage: Eukaryota; Metazoa; Chordata; Mammalia; Rodentia; Cricetidae.
UACACUUGAGAGAAGACAUUGUAG